UGACAUUAGCAUCAGCAUCAGCGUUGAGAGCCGAGCUGUCACACUGCCACUCACCUGCUAGUUAGCUACGGCCGCUUUCCUCAAAGUGUCAGUUCACGACAUAUUUUCUUAUUUCAGGAAGCCACGGGUUCAGAGCAAGUUGAAUCCCAUGUCAGAAUUGUCCCCACGCUGACCUGCGCCUGACUGGCCUCCCAGCAAAAAGCCCCUGUGAAGAUCACCAACCCCCCGGUAUCCCAUGAAUACUGUUUCUAGUUUCCCUUUGAAGCCCUGGGACCCUGCAGAGUGACAUGCGACAGAGGAACUGGUCGAAAACCAAGGAAGUGAGCAUGGCAAUAGACUUGUAAAAGAGCCAGCAACAACUGCCAUCAGCAUGGGGUACAAACAGCACUGGGUUGACCUCAAACAAAGUGCAGAGGGAGGCGGGCCGGCUAAACAUGUAAGGCGAAAAGAGCUUUCCUGAUCCGAAGGUGAAAAACAUCCUCCUCCUCCUCCUCCUCCUCUUCCCCCGGACUGGAACAUCUGUCUCCGUGGUGUUGGCUGCAGUGCCGACUCUGACACCUCCAGAUGGAGGACCCGCUGGGAGCGCUGAGGUAUUACCUGCAGAGAUGGCAGGGAUCACACCUCUGGAAUGAAGUCCCACACUUGUUUUCAGCACCGUCCCCCUCUUAUUGUUGUUGAAUCUGUCGCUAUUCACCAUAUCGAUUGUCACCUUGGCCUUGCGACUCUUCUAGAAGCUUUUGGCUGUUAAAGAAAUGCGUGACAACAAAACCUCUCAGCCCCUUUUCUAAUUUACAGUAAUGGGCCGUAUGGUAUUUCAACUGUAGCGUCUAUAAGUGGAACUGCAUUCAUUUUUAAUAUAGUUGCUCGAGAACUGCUUGUGGAUAUAUUUCAAAUGAUUGCUGUUUUGUGUUUCCUACAAACACAGGGUUUUUUUCAGAGGCCCUGAACAUAGCAGUUUGAAUAAAUCAGAGCUUUGACUAAAUGGGGUUUAAUCUCUGUAGUGUAAAUAUCUAACGCAAUACCUACAGAAAAUCUUAAGUAUGAGAGGCCCUCGAGUUGACUUCUCCGAGCCACUCUUGGUGUCUUGACAGAUUGACUCUGCAUUCAUUUGUGCCUGAACUCUGCGUGAACCUCAGCUUUAGGAAAAAGGGCACCAACAGGCCGGUGCUGCCGGAGCAGAAACUCUGUGUGCGCAAACUUAACACCCAGUGCAAAUAUUGGAACUGCUGCCCCUUCACCAUCAACUGAAACUAGGUGGUCAGCCUCAGCAAACGUUUAUCUUGAGCUGAAGUCACAAUGAGCACUUGAAUGUCAAACAGUCAACUUUUUCCUCUGAUUUAAAUGAAAAUCUGGGUUGUUUGAUUUUACAAAAGUAUUAAAAAUAAAAGUGGAUGUCAUUGCGA
Long non-coding RNA from Notothenia coriiceps (black rockcod), 1403 nucleotides. RefSeq lists it as uncharacterized. NCBI's taxonomy places the organism in Eukaryota, Metazoa, Chordata, Actinopteri, Perciformes, Nototheniidae. The transcript has 4 exons. The record is from RefSeq and is a predicted model, not a curated record.